RNAcentral lists this ribosomal RNA (293 nucleotides) under uncultured bacterium. Its description in RNAcentral is "partial 16S ribosomal RNA". It matches the Rfam family "Bacterial small subunit ribosomal RNA", at positions 61 to 344 of the family's 1533-position model. The record is from RNAcentral.
GUCGAGCGAAUCGAUGGGAGCUUGCUCCCUGAGAUUAGCGGCGGACGGGUGAGUAACACGUGGGCAACCUGCCUAUAAGACUGGGAUAACUUCGGGAAACCGGAGCUAAUACCGGAUACGUUCUUUUCUCGCAUGAGAGAAGAUGGAAAGACGGUUUACGCUGUCACUUAUAGAUGGGCCCGCGGCGCAUUAGCUAGUUGGUGAGGUAAUGGCUCACCAAGGCGACGAUGCGUAGCCGACCUGAGAGGGUGAUCGGCCACACUGGGACUGAGACACGGCCCAGACUCCUACGG